Triticum aestivum (bread wheat) is the source of this 1677-nucleotide long non-coding RNA. RefSeq lists it as uncharacterized. The transcript has 2 exons. NCBI's taxonomy places the organism in Eukaryota, Viridiplantae, Streptophyta, Magnoliopsida, Poales, Poaceae. The record is from RefSeq and is a predicted model, not a curated record.
UCGAUUCGAUCGAUUGAAUCGCAUCUCGGCAUCUGCGUCUGGUCCUGGUUGCCUCGGGGGCUCGUCCGCCUCCGCCUGCUGCUUUCUCUGUCUCUCGAAGACUCGCACGGACGCCCGGCCGGCCAGCCGCCGGCUGCUGCAAUCAGGUGGCCCUUUAAUCCUUGAUUCCGUGAUUUCCGUCUUGAUUUUCUUUGUACGGUUGAUUUUCUUGCUUUUUUGGCGUAAACGUAUUUAUCUUUUCAGUUUCAUCAUAUUUCUAGUCGUAUUGAUCUAUUGAAGCAUUAUUGUCUAUGAAUUAGAAUUUGGAUCUAUUUAAGGUAAUCAAACUAGCAGGGAAUAUUGUUUCUCAUACUUAAUAUUUUGCUACUUUAUUAGUCUUCCUUUCAUGAUAUGACAUAGUCUGCGUGAUUAUCAAUAUUUUAUAUGUUAUACGUCUCAGAAUAAUAAAAUAUGAUCGGAUAUGUGUACAUAUAUAUUACCUAUAAGGGCCCUUUUUCAACUUGGCCAAGGGCCCCGAAAAACAUAGAGCCGGCCCUGUGUAUCAUGUUAGCACGCUGGAGAAGGCGAGAAACUGAGGCUUCGGUCAUUCACCUGUGGGAACCUUCGUUUGUCUUGACGAAGGAUAUGAAUUCUACAAUGUUUAUUCCUUGGAAUAUGGUUUUGGAGUUAGGUGUGGAGCGAGCAGUAUGGAUUCUCAUGGAACUAAAUGCAUAUAGCAAUUCGUUUGCGCGUGUGAGGUAUGCAAUUAUCCUCCCCUUGUAAUUAGUAGUUAGUACUUUUGCUCUUUGUGUUAUUUAUCAUCUUGGCGGUCUCAUAGUAAUAUCGACAAGAACACGAGGGACUUGAUUUGCCGACUAAGGGAAAACAAUGUGCCCACACAUUGCUGAUAUUGGAGCAAAGAAUUUGUGGUAUGAGGAUCUCAGUAAGACCUUGAAAACCUUGCUAGGAUCUCAGUAAGACCUUGAAAACCUUGCUAGGACCUUGAAGCUUCAUUAUGAGUUAGUAAAAACGCCCUUUAUCCAAAAAAAGGAUCAAAGCAGAGGAUCCAACAUUCCAGUAUACUUUUCAGGUUGGUAGUAACUGUAGAGUGAGGCCACUACUCUGGACCAGUGGCCAGAACCUCCAGUACAAACACUUUGACGAUGUGAUUAUCUUCGACCCCAUCUACAGAUCGAACAUGUAUGAAAAACCGUUCGGCCUAUUUGUUGGGGUCAACAACAACUUCAAGACCAUCGGCAGGGUGAUGAUGAGAGAUGGAAAAAUAGACCGGACAUGUGUGCUGUUCUGAAAAAGGAGCUUCUGUGUUGGUGGUAGCCGUGAUGGUAGUUUUACACAGAGUUGUAGCACGGGAAAGUGUGCCUCAUAAUUCGGAACGAGAUCCUCUCACGUAGAACAAAACUACUGCAGAGGGACGUCCAACACGGAUCACCGUCCGUGCAGCAUCCAAUGGCAACGGCUAAACACUGGCAAAACAUAGCGAAGCCAUCGGCCCAUGAGGACGAUGCGGCCCAGUCCAAUGAGAUGGUGCGAGGACGACAAAAACGCAUGAGGUCGACGGAACGCGAUAGUUUAAGUGAACACGGUGUCUUGCUCAUCGAUUUGUACGUAAAUUGUGAAUCUCUCCCUUUCUUUUCCCAUCUUGAAAUUCGCUUUAAUAAUAAGAGUGGAAUUAGUCGA